GACGAACGCUGGCGGCGUGCUUAACACAUGCAAGUCGAACGGAAAGGCCCUGCUUUUGUGGGGUGCUCGAGUGGCGAACGGGUGAGUAACACGUGAGUAACCUGCCCUUGACUUUGGGAUAACUUCAGGAAACUGGGGCUAAUACCGGAUAGGAGCUCCUGCUGCAUGGUGGGGGUUGGAAAGUUUCGGCGGUUGGGGAUGGACUCGCGGCUUAUCAGCUUGUUGGUGGGGUAGUGGCUUACCAAGGCUUUGACGGGUAGCCGGCCUGAGAGGGUGACCGGCCACAUUGGGACUGAGAUACGGCACAGACUCCUACGGGAGGCAGCAGUGGGGAAUAGUGCACAAUGGGCGGAAGCCUGAUGCAGCAACGCCGCGUGCGGGAUGACGGCCUGCGGGUUGUAAACCGCAUUCGCCUGUGACGAAGAGUGAGUGACGGUAAUGGGUAAAGAAGCACCGGCUAACUACGUG
This 468-nucleotide ribosomal RNA is filed under the name uncultured bacterium. RNAcentral's name for it is "partial 16S ribosomal RNA". It matches the Rfam family "Bacterial small subunit ribosomal RNA", at positions 28 to 507 of the family's 1533-position model. The record is from RNAcentral.